GUUCUUAAUCAUGAGCAGUUAUUUGCAUCAUUUAAUAAAGUAUGAUGUCAUAGCAUUUCUCAUGAUAUCUUCGGUCUGCAUAUAAAUGUCAGCAGCAGGUUCACGGUAUCACACACUCGCGGACAAUUGUGUUGUUUGUUGUCACAGAGCGGUUCCGAUUCGCUCGUCUUACUGGGUUGCCAGAGCGAAUAUUAAAAAUUGAACUAUUUUUUUAAUACUGUUACUUACGUUGGAUCUUACUUUGUUUAAGCAUCUUACUUUUUUAAUUUUGAAACAAAAAAAAAACGUUUUAUUCGUUCAGCUGAGAAUUCCAUAUAUUAAUGAACAUUGUAACAAUUUCUGACAAAAAUUAUUUUAAAAGUUCUAGGUACCAAAAAACAUUCUAAAGCAAUAUUCUCCUUAAUAAAAUAUUUCUAAUUACCCCACAUUUCAGUAUAGGCUGGCAACACCACACGUUAUUCCAUAUUCCUAGUGUUGCGACACGACGCUUGACGUCUAGUCGUGUGGACUGACAAACCGGAUAUUGGAAGCACAACACUACACAACACACUCUUUGCUCGCCUCUCGCUUGACACAGUCGACACGCUUUCAUGCGACGACCAUAGAUACAAUCUCCUUGCUUGUCUUGGCUGGUCAGAUGAUAGGUUUAUAUUGAGAGCAGAUGUGAAUUAUGUAUACCUUAUGCUAUAACAUUUCUAGUUAGCUUCAAAGGCCAAUGAAAAAGGCUUUAAAAUUAUAACCAAGAUCCAGUUUACUGAACUAUAUUUUGUUUUGCGCAACAUUAACAAAACAGUUUAGUUAAACUCAAAAACGUAUGUAAGCAAGGAGUUCCGUACAAAAAUUCUAAAUGGGCUGGAUGACAUUCAGGUACAGCCGGGUGACAGACGGACAGACAUCGGUGCCUCGGUAAUAAAAAUUAUCUCUAUUCGCUUAAGUAAUAAUAAAUAUAUUUUAUGCUAUUUGGAUGAAUCCUACGCGUAUGAUAGUCCGUUCCAAAUAUCUCGAUAAUUUUGUUAUCCAUUUACCGAACCUCAAACUCAGAAAAAUAAUCGAAAUAGUAAAAACACGUAGAAAAGAGAGCAAUUUUCGAAUAAAGUAAUAUUAAAUUUACUCGAAACCACUUCAAAUAAUCACGAAGAAAACAAACAAACGGAAACAGUUUGUGCUCCCGCUUCAUCCAACGAACGUGACUAAAAAUCAUUUUAGUAAUUAGCAUUUAUAUCUCGUUAACAGCAUACCUGCUUGUACCCAAAGGGAAGCAUUCGGGAUUUGUCAAACUUACGCCACUCUUGGGUAUUACGGCACCUACGCCGCUACGCUACGUCAUAAUCCUUGCUUAAACAGGUCCGUAGUACACACAAAGGGUGCACGCGUAUUUGUGAAGUUUUAUUUUGUUACAGAUUAUGGGAGCUUGAAAUGGUGUAGGCUUUCUGUGACUUGGCGAUUACCCCAAUUACUACGAAGAGGACAUUCAGGACACAGUCGCAUUCGAAUAAAAGCUCCAUUCAUAAAAUCAAAUAUUGACGAAGGCAAA
Molecule: long non-coding RNA, 1534 nt
Organism: Trichoplusia ni (cabbage looper)
Lineage: Eukaryota; Metazoa; Arthropoda; Insecta; Lepidoptera; Noctuidae
Exons: 2
Source: RefSeq, a predicted model, not a curated record